Papaver somniferum (opium poppy) is the source of this 1574-nucleotide long non-coding RNA. RefSeq lists it as uncharacterized. The transcript is spliced from 3 exons. The record is from RefSeq and is a predicted model, not a curated record. NCBI's taxonomy places the organism in Eukaryota, Viridiplantae, Streptophyta, Magnoliopsida, Ranunculales, Papaveraceae.
UGGAAGAAACAAGAAACGAAUCUCCAUAUUCUAAUGGGAAAGAUUGGAUCAGUAGCUUACCUAAUGAAAUAAUUCACCGCAUCAUGUCUUCUAAUGAUACCAGAGAUGUAGUCCGAACAUGUGUUUUGUCCAAAAGAUGGAUUUAUAUUUGGAAAUCUAUCCCAUAUCUAAGCUUCAAGAGAAGUUCAUUUCCUCCAGGCAAAGAACAUGAUCAAAAGUUCAUAAGUUUUGUCGACAUGGUAUUCAUUUUUCGCAAUAAAUCUGAUAUUCAGAGAUUUGCUAUAGAUUGGUAUAGAUAUACUAUAGAUGAAGAUAUUGUGAUGAAAACUGUUUGUAGAUGGAUUUUUCAAGCUGUUGAGCGCAAUGUUGAAGAAAUGAGUUUAACAAUCCGUCAAGGUCACCCGGAAGCACUUGAAAUUCCUUAUCAACUUGUUAAUUGCAAGUCACUGGUGCACUUGGAAAUGCAAAUGAAUUUUGGUUUCAGAUGUACAGAUGUUAUUUUACCAAAAUCAAUAGAUUUACCUCGGCUCAAAGUUUUGUGGAUUCAUGGAGUUUCGAUCCCCAAUGAAGAACUAUAUCUAAAAGGAUCUUUUUAAGUUGCCCAGUUCUUGAAAAGUUAUUCCUAUAUCAUUGUGACAUACCAAAUUUGACUGUUAAUUCUCUCGGCCUCGAGAAUUUCUUCUACAAGCGAUUACUUGGUAGUACAAACAAUGUUAUCAAGUUGACUACUCCAAAUCUAAAAUAUUUCGAGUGCACGUCUUGCGUGACACAAUUAUAUUCUCUAGAAAACUGUUCUCUUCUAUCCGAGGUAAAUUUUGAGUCGGGGCUCAAAGAAAGAGUUUUAGGUGAGAAUGCAGAAGCACAUUGUAAUUUUCUCUCACAGGAAGAAAUGGUAUAUGCUAAACAUAUGACGAAGUUUCUAAGAGAGGCUUGUAUGGUGAGAAAUAUGUGGUUAUCCUAUGGAUUCCUCGAGGUUCUCUAAGGAGCGCCUGACUUAUUAUUAGACUCUCAACCACCUUGCUUAUUAAAUCUGCGAUCUUUCUGGAUGAAAAUGCGGUCUACAAGAGGUUGCUUGCGGGCUAUAGCGUACUUUCUCAAUAUUUCUCCUCGGGUACAGAGUAUACUCCUUUACUCCAAGCAGUCAAAUUUAGUGGACGUCGGGGAUGAUUAGGAUGAAGGGUUGUCAUAGCAGGGGAUGUUGUCUCGCCUCACUGAUGUUUCUUUCUACAAUGUGGAAGGAUGUGAUGUUGAGCUCAAACUUCUGAGUUUUUUAUUAAAACAUGCUAAGGUUUUGAGCAAUGUUCGUCUGUCAUUCCGUGCUAGUACUUGCUCGCCGGAUGGAGUGAGACAAAUGGAACUAUUUUUAGAGAAGGUUAGAGCAUUUCCAAAAACAUCUUCAAGUGUGAAAAUAGUAUGUCUUCCUAGCCUUCACAGUACGUGACGAUGUACUUGAAUAAUCAAAAGACAAGAAUUUCAUUGCUAGAUCUAGUAGUUUGAGGUUUAUUCCUUUUUUUUUCCUUCUUCUAUGAAACAGAACGAUUGAAAUAAAUGGGCUAAAUUGUGUUUGGAAGGCA